UGACCUGCUUGGGUUUGGUUACAAACAUU
RNAcentral lists this non-coding RNA (29 nucleotides) under Rattus norvegicus (Norway rat). The record is from RNAcentral. Lineage: Eukaryota; Metazoa; Chordata; Mammalia; Rodentia; Muridae.